CACACGCUCAUACAACACAACUCAUACACGCUCAGUUCAGAGCACUCAAUUUCAAAAAUAGAAGCAAUGUGUCAAAAAUGAGUUUUUAUUUGAGUAGAUCGAGCUCAACUGGCGAGUAACCAUUCAAUUUUCAAUAUUUCGAGUGAAAAAAAUAGUUAACUUCAAAAGAAAGUGAACGAACUUUGUCGUUGACUAAAAGUUUUAUGAAAGAUCAAGCCGGAAAUCCCGUAGUUGUAGUGCCGACUUGGAUCAUUCACAAAAUUAUAAGUUUCUGCCAUUACUAUGAGGCGCCGAUAGACAUGGAAUACGUGCAGAGAAACCUUUAAGGAUUAUAUUUCCAGGCAUUGCUAGCGCCUGGAGGUUCAGGUUGUGCAUGGUGUCAUGAGAUCAUGAGAAUACACGUGGACACUUCAUGAUCAGACAAAAUUUCAUAUAUGAUUGCAAUAUAUACAUAGCACCGAGUUGAAGUAAAAAUAAUCAAAAAUGUUUGUGGUCGAAAAACCGGAUUUCAGAAUCACCAGAUCGGAUCACCAAGUAGAUAUUGUUUGCUGUGAGCUGAAAAUGUUUGGUCCACUGAAUCCGGAAUCACCGGAACCUAUUAGACAGCGUCCACCUGGAUCUGGGUGACUUCAAAUGAGAUUGUAUUGUUAACAGAUCUCAAAGAGCGAAAUUUUACCUGUGCCACUGACAAUCAACGACGGUAGUCAGCAUUGUAAGGAAAAUCAAAGAGGAUAAUUAUUUUCCUAUUCACAUUGUUUUAACGCUACCGGUCAAAUAAAGACGUGUUUUCUAUUCCGUUCAUCCCA
Long non-coding RNA from Topomyia yanbarensis, 806 nucleotides. RefSeq lists it as uncharacterized. The transcript is spliced from 4 exons. The record is from RefSeq and is a predicted model, not a curated record. Lineage: Eukaryota; Metazoa; Arthropoda; Insecta; Diptera; Culicidae.